Molecule: ribosomal RNA, 438 nt
Filed under: uncultured bacterium
Lineage: Bacteria
Description: bacterial SSU rRNA
Rfam family: Bacterial small subunit ribosomal RNA
Source: RNAcentral
AAUCAACGCUGGCGGCGUGCCUAACACAUGCAAGUCGAACGAGAAAGUGACUUCGGUCACUGGAAAGUGGCGUCCGGGUGAGUAACACGUGGGUAAUCUACCCUCGGGUGGGGAAUAACGGAUCGAAAGAUUCGCUAAUACCGCAUAAUGCAGCGGCACCUAAUGGUGAAUAGUUGUUAAAGCGGGGGAUCGCAAGACCUCGCGCCUGAAGAGGAGCCUGCGGCAGAUAGCUAGUUGGUGAGGUAAUGGCUCACCAAGGCUUCGAUCUGUAGCUGGUCUGAGAGGACGGCCAGCCACACUGGCACUGACACACGGGCCAGACUCCUACGGGAGGCAGCAGUGGGGAAUUUUGGGCAAUGGGCGAAAGCCUGACCCAGCAACGCCGCGUGAGGGAGGAAAUCCUUCGGAUGUAAACCUCGCAAGCAAGGGAAGACAGCU